This is a long non-coding RNA of Physella acuta, 572 nucleotides long. RefSeq lists it as uncharacterized. The record is from RefSeq and is a predicted model, not a curated record. Lineage: Eukaryota; Metazoa; Mollusca; Gastropoda; Physidae.
UAAACUCAUUAUGUUUACAUACUUUCAACUCUUAAUGUUAUAAAUAAAAAUAUUUGUCCUUCUUAUAAAGAUCAUAAAGCAAUGAUGUGUAUUUAUGUAUUGGAUUGUAUGGGCUAUCUAACCAUUACCAUUCAUUAAAAAUAUAGGUCUAAUAGUUUACUUUUAAUAUUUUAAUGUAAGGAGUUUGUCAUAAAAUACAAUAGGCCUUCAAAAGAAAAAGAACACACGUAUCUAUGGUUUCUUUGAAAUAAUAUUCUCCCGGAGGACGUCGGGUCAAUGGUACCAGCAUAUAUUUUGUAUAUUUUCUAUAUUCUAUGGGAGAAGGUGGACGUGCCAAGCCAGGCAUAAAGCGACAGGAGAAGAUAAGGCAACAGUAAUCGGACAUCAGGUUGACGGGAACAGGACAUCAGACCAUAGAUAAAAGGAGAGAAUCUGCACUAUGUGUAGACCUGUAAAAUACGCAUUAAGAUCUACAGAUAAGCUGUUGAAGGAAGGAAAGUAGAACCUAGCUUGAUCUAAAAUCUAGAUCUAUGUCAAACCAAAAAUAAUUAGUAAAAAAAACAAUUAUUAAA